AUGCUAUUUAUGUUCGUUUUAACUUCAUUCCAAUCUGUUUGCAUUACAUUGAACAUUUGCUUCGACAGACGUUGUUUUUUUUUCCUGCUGAAGGCGAGCAGAUUGUGCUUGGUAUCGCAAGUCCUCCACAAACAUUCCAUAGCUGUGACAGGACCUGCACCUUAUCGCAUUUUAAUCCUUCACACAUAUAAAAUACUUUCAUUAAAUCCCGUCUCCGUGCGACUUCCCAUAGUCCGCUCACAGCCGCAGCGCCGUACACAACGAGGGCAAGGCGCGGCAGGGCCGGGCCCACUGCGGCACGGGGGCCCUCCCGGGGCCGGCGCCGUGAGGCGGCUCCCGCCCAGCCACCGGCACGCAGCGGGCACUACGAGUACCGAGAUGCAGCGCGCGGAGGGGCGGGCUCCGUGGGCACUACAGAUCCCACAAUGCUCCGCGUCGCCCUGUGGCUCCGCUCGGGGAGGCUGGUUCCUAUUUAAAUCUGGGCAGCGAGGAAAAUGGCGGCGAGAGGUUGAGCGCGGGGGAGACGGGGACAGAGCUGCGCCUUGGCUCCUUUCCCAGGCAUUCCUACCAGCUUCUGUUGGAGAGAGAAGACUGCUAGUAUGUGACUUAAAAUGUUUCCAGAAUAAGAGCAAAAGCACUGACAGGACUUUGCAAACUAGGUUUUGCUGCUAG
Molecule: long non-coding RNA, 672 nt
Filed under: Meleagris gallopavo (turkey)
Lineage: Eukaryota; Metazoa; Chordata; Aves; Galliformes; Phasianidae
Description: lncRNA (ENSMGAG00000022344.1)
Source: RNAcentral